AUCGAACGCUGGCGGCAGGCCUAACACAUGCAAGUCGAACGAGUGGCGGACGGGUGAGUAGUGUCUGGGAAACUGCCCGAUGGAGGGGGAUGACUACUGGAAACGGUAGCUAAUACCGCAUACCAUCCGAUGUGGCGGGGUGGGAUUAGCUAGUAGGUGGGGUAACGGCUCACCUAGGCGACGAUCCCUAGCUGGGCUGAGAGGCUGACCAGCCACACUGGAACUGAGACACGGUCCAGACUCCUACGGGAGGCAGCAGUGGGGAAUCUUCGGCAAUGGGCGCAAGCCUGAUGCAGCCAUGCCGCGUGUGUGAAGAAGGCCUUCGGGUUGUAAAGUUCUUUCAGCGAGGAGGCGUUACUCGCAGAAGAAGCACCGGCUAACUCCGUGCCAGCAGCCGCGGUAAUUC
Molecule: ribosomal RNA, 406 nt
Filed under: uncultured bacterium
Lineage: Bacteria
Description: partial 16S ribosomal RNA
Rfam family: Bacterial small subunit ribosomal RNA
Source: RNAcentral